GUGGCUGAGUCCAGUUCUGGGAACAAUGGUUCAAGAAAGACACAGACUUGGUGGGCCAGCUCCCGAGGAGGGCCAUGAAAAUCAUCAAAGCUGAGGCCUCACAUGCACUGCAUUAAGCUCCUUUUUAAAAUUAAUGAAGACUAAUUAAGGAAAACAAGCCUCCACAAGAAAAAAAAAAAAGAAAGAAGUUGCUUUUGUAAAGACAGCUCUAGCAACUACCACAAAAUGCCACUCUGCUCUAGAAAGCCAAUAACUCACUGUAAUAUGAACUGAUAAAUGUUGUCUGUUUCCAACCAGCUCAGGGUGAGAUGAACCCAAUGCCUCAUUGCUGGUGUGGGCCUUUCAUUAUCUCCAACUGAUGAAUUCUCAUGAUCAAGAUUUUGGGUGCCUGUACAACAAUUCAUCUUCUCUUUAAAAUUUUGUAAAUUAUAUUGUUCAAAUUAAAACAUCCAACAAUUAGAAUUCCAUUGUUCACUUAAAUUCAGAAGGCUGAAGACUGCAAAUUUGUACCCAUUCCCAUCCAAUCUGUGCAUGAACAUUUGAUUUUUAAAAUAUUCUGUUUUUCUAAAGCAAAGAAAACAGAAUAAUUCCUCCUUAUUUACUGCAAACUCUGAUAUCUCAUUAGGAUCCCUGCUCAGUAUCUCUCCAGAUACCACUGUGACCUUAUUGUAGUAUGAGUAUCAUUGAUCAAUAGACAGAAAACUGUCAAAUCUCUCUUAAUGUGGGAAAACAGCUGCAGAACACAUUUGUACAGAAGACAGACCUUACAGGCAAUCUUUUUUUGCAUAAAAAUAAUAAUACUUCUGGAAGAAAAAUAAAUUUCUUGUUCUGUACAAUUAAACUGCAGGGAGAAAUCCUAGAAUUAAAAAAAAAAACAGUUUUUAAGUAAAAACUCACCAUCUGUCAUCUAAUAGCUCUUUUCUGCUACAGUAUGUACAAGAUGAAGGACUUUAAGAUCCUUUGGAUCAGCACAUGACUUGCUCUAGACAGUGGAAUGGUGCAGGACACCCUGCAAUCUUUGGAUCAUAUCACAGAUGGAAGAGAUGAAUACAGGCAAUAAGCCAACCUAAAAUGAAAAUAAAUGUCAAUGUGCCAUCUUUAAGGGAAAGCAAGUGUACAUGUAUAUGCAUAAGCAUAGAUAUAACAUUUUUCUCUUGCAUAUGUGUUAGUGACUCAGUCACUUCCAGUGUACAACCCCUCACAAAACCCCCCAAAAUCAAUCAAACCACCAAAAGCAAAGCAACUUGAAAAAGUAAUUCCAGUGGGGCUUUUCUUUGAAAAGAAACGUGGUGAAGUCAGUUUCUGCUUUUAAGCUAUGAGGGCUACAAAGACCAUGACCUCUUUCUGUGAGGAAAUUAGAUUUCAUUUGAAGAAUUUGCCAGCUGUACCAUUUUGAAUUCCUUUCUAUGGAUUAUCCUUGUGAAAUAAAGUCAU
This is a long non-coding RNA of Haemorhous mexicanus (house finch), 1434 nucleotides long. RefSeq lists it as uncharacterized. Lineage: Eukaryota; Metazoa; Chordata; Aves; Passeriformes; Fringillidae. The transcript has 3 exons. The record is from RefSeq and is a predicted model, not a curated record.